RNAcentral lists this ribosomal RNA (253 nucleotides) under uncultured bacterium. RNAcentral describes it as "partial 16S ribosomal RNA". It matches the Rfam family "Bacterial small subunit ribosomal RNA", at positions 524 to 776 of the family's 1533-position model. The record is from RNAcentral.
UACGGAGGGUGCGAGCGUUGUCCGGAAUCACUGGGCGUAAAGGGCGCGUAGGCGGCUUCUUAAGCGGGCGGUGAAAGCCCGGGGCUCAACCCCGGGUCGGCCGUGCGAACUGGGAAGCUCGAGCACUGUAGAGGCAGGUGGAAUUCCGGGUGUAGCGGUGGAAUGCGUAGAGAUCCGGAAGAACACCGGUGGCGAAGGCGGCCUGCUGGGCAGUGGCUGACGCUGAGGCGCGACAGCGUGGGGAGCAAACGGG